UUCUAUUCAUUUCUGAGUAGUUUUUUAUAUAGUUUUUUUCUUUUUCUGCUAUAUUUAUUUUUUCUUUUUAUUUCUGUGUUGUAAUAAGUCAUUAAAAAUAAGCAUAUACGCUCCUUUUUUACUAUAGUUAAUCACAACUAUUUUUUGCUUCUAUUCAUUUCUGAGUAGUUUUUUAUAUAGUUUUUUUCUUUUUCUGCUAUAUUUAUUUUUUCUUUUUAUUACUGUGUUGUAAUAAGUCAUUAAAAAUAAGCAUAUAUGCUCCUUUUUUACUAUAGUUAAUCACAACUAUUUUUUGCUUCUAUUCAUUUCUGAGUAGUUUUUUAUAUAGUUUUUUCUUUUCUGCUAUAUUAUUUUUUCUGAGUUAUAAUAAGUCAUUACAAAUAAAAAAGAGACGCAAUGCUCGUUAAUCUGCUUCAACCCUUUCGGGAUAGUGUCAACUGCACUGCACAUAGCUCUGUGCAGUCUACCGUAUCCCGCAAGGGUUGAAGCCAACCAACGUGCAGGAGCAUUGAGCCUCUUCGUCAUUGUAUCUGCACUCAGGGCUUAUAAACAGCUGCGAGUGCCUCUCGCUUGGCGAGGUGGGACUAAAACGAAAGCUGCUGGAAGAAUCAACAAAAAAACAGCUGCAGAGACAAAAAGUGGUUAGACGGGUCCAUUGGUCCCGGUUGGUGGCUCCAACCGGGACCAAUGCC
This 692-nucleotide long non-coding RNA is filed under the name Triticum aestivum (bread wheat). RNAcentral's name for it is "long non-coding RNA (TAES_LNC007730)". The record is from RNAcentral. Lineage: Eukaryota; Viridiplantae; Streptophyta; Magnoliopsida; Poales; Poaceae.